UCGGGUGGGUUUUCACAACUCUUCGCACAGCAAAAAAAUUAAAAUGUGAAGAAGACAAAGAACUGGAAGUGGAGGAAUCGCUCCAUCUCUUCAGCCCCUGCUACUUUUACCCCACUCCACUGAGACUCACAGCGGUGUCUCGGGGAUCGUGUGUCCACCCCAGAGUCAGGCUGUAAAAACCGCAUCCAUUGAUGCGGUGCUUCCGGAUGGGGUGGUGCGAGCUGAGGGAGAGAGCUCUGAGCACAUGAGAACGCUCCUAAGGAGGGCGCUACGCUGGAGCUCGCAGUCUGCAGAAGGUGUUUGUGGGGCCCUGGGUAGGCAGAGAGCCCUCAGGGUGCCCUUCAGAAAGCCAGUUGGCUGAGCUAGAGUGAACCGAUGCCUGUGAGUCACGGUCGGAAUCAGCAAGAGGCUUGGGAAAUGAACGGACUAGGAACGAUGUCAUCGAUGUCAUCGCUUGGCUUCUUCCUCUGACAAACGAAAGUGCAGCUCUCCAAUUUGAAUCCCGAUUGAGUUUGAUUAAAGGUGGUUUUGAUUGUGCAAGGCUUGACACUUCCUAUGUCGCAGAAGAAAUGGGUCCUUCAGCUGUCAGCAGGCGAGCUUCAGCCUCUGCUGUGCACCCAUGGCCCUUACAGCAUCCAUCACAGCAUCGGACAUAGAGAAUCAGCCCCCAGAGGUGUCUAUCGAUGAUUGUUUUACAGAGACAGCAACGCGUGUAUGCACAGUGAACGUUUAUCCAGCACGGAGAACAAAACGUUGUCGUUUUCAGCAGAAUGGACUGAACUGGUGGCCAGAAAGUUAGAGCAAAAUAAACCAGACUUGGAAAGAGAAGCAGACCUAUUCUUUCACAUAUAGAAAUAAACACAUAGAAAGGAGAGGUUUUGGGAAAGAGAGGAGGGGUUGGGAAGAGAGAGGGGACAUAAGUCAGAGAGUCCCAGGGUGAGCAGCAUCAACAAGUACAGUAAAUAGACAUAUAAAAAUAGCCAGGGGGUUGGAGAGAUGGCUCAGUGGUUAAGAGCACUGACUGCUCUUCCAGAGGCCCUGAGUUCAAUUCCCAGCAACCACAUGGUGGCUCAAACCAUCUGUAAUGGGAUCUGAUGCCCUCUUCUGGUGCAUCUAAAAAUAGCUACAGUGUACUCAUAUAAAUAAAGUAAAUAAAUCUUUAAAAAAAAAAAA
Rattus norvegicus (Norway rat) is the source of this 1173-nucleotide long non-coding RNA. RefSeq lists it as uncharacterized. NCBI's taxonomy places the organism in Eukaryota, Metazoa, Chordata, Mammalia, Rodentia, Muridae. The record is from RefSeq and is a predicted model, not a curated record.